CCUACGGGAGGCAGCAGUGGGGAAUAUUGCACAAUGGGGGAAACCCUGAUGCAGCAACGCCGCGUGAGUGAGGAAGUAUUUCGGUAUGUAAAGCUCUAUCAGCAGGGAAUAGAAAAGAAGGUACCUGAAAAAGAAGCCCCGGCGAACUACGUGCCAGCAGCCGCGGUAAGACGUGGGGGGCGAGCGUUAUCCGGAGUGAUUGGGCGUAAGGGGUGCGUAGGGGGCCUGCUAAGUCUGGUGGGAAAGGUACCGGCCAAACCGGUACAGGCUCUGGAAACUGGCGGGCUAGAGGGCGGGAGAGGGCGGUGGAACUCCAGGUGUAGCGGUAAAAUGCGUAGAUAUAUGGAGGAACACCAGUGGCGAAGGCGGCCGCCUGGCAUGUUACUGACGCUGAGGCACGAAAGCGUGGGGAGCAAAUAGGAUUAGAUACCCCAGUAGUC
This 440-nucleotide ribosomal RNA is filed under the name uncultured bacterium. RNAcentral describes it as "partial 16S ribosomal RNA". It matches the Rfam family "Bacterial small subunit ribosomal RNA", at positions 338 to 795 of the family's 1533-position model. The record is from RNAcentral.